AAAGAAGCUUAACGUCAGCAUCUUCUCACUUUAGGCGGCACUGCAGUCGGUGUGUGUUUGUGUAGCUACCGAGGCGUCUUGAAGUUUCGAGAUACGAUUCUCCGUCAUCCGGGCAGCCAGGAAGCAAAGCAAAGCAGUAUCACCAGUCACUGCACUAACACUACGAGCACUUCCAGCUUCAAGUCAGACAUCACAGAAGACAGAUGAACCAAUCGUACAAUGUGUGCCCAUAGAGGAGAAAAAACUUAAAAAUUUGCAUUCGGUAGACAGGAGAACUUUAGUUUGCGUGGCAAGAUAGAAGGAACAAGAGGAAGAGGAAGACCUAAAGAAAUUUUAUGGGCGGACUGGUGAGGACGAUCGGAAUGAGAGCCAGUGUUGUUAAAAUACUGCAAAUGAAGAGAGAGUAAAGAGAGUGGUCUGCUAUGGUAGCCUGCUUCUUCAGGGACACGGCACCGUCGGAGGAGGAGGAGGAGGAGGGGGAGAGGCGUAGGUUAAGAGGAAGAUCAAUUAGAGGUAUUUAAUACGCAUAAAGAAUAUAGAAAGACUAAUGUAAACAAAAUCCGUUUGGCUAAUUGGUUAAUUAUUACAACAGGACUAGAAGUUGCAGGUUCGAGCUUGAUAAAAGUAAGAUGUAAAAAGAUGGGAAGAUAUUUGUUAUCGAAUAGAGUGGUAAAUGACUGGAAUUGGCUGUCUUAUAAGGUUGUUAGCAGCGAGUAAAUAGGGAGCUUUAAAAGAUGAAUAGAUAAAAUUAUGGACAGGGACAAAACGUGGAUAUAAAUUGGUAUGUUUUAUAAAUUAACUGCCACUUGUAGGCGUAUUUGCUUCUUGCAGUUUCUCUUAUUUCUUUAUGUUCUCAUGUUCGUCCAAAAUGUGCAGGAAGACUGGUCCAAAUGUUUAAAGAUGUAUUGAGCUUAAUCCUGAUUUGAACCGUGUGAUGAUAAUCUACGCAAAAUUCCCUGUCGACAUUUGGACGGUCUCUUGUCAAGCAUUGUCAAGUUAUCACACACACACACACAUUGUAUUCUAUCUACGUAUACCCUUUUCAUGAACACCAAGACCGCACACACUCAAGCUGUGGGCCUAUAAAUGAAUUGAGUAACGGAUGACUUUCUGACCUGUGCUCGAAGGUUCUGCCAACGAUCCAUUGAUUUAUUACUUGUUUUACCCACCUCCGUGAAUUGGUGGUUCCGUUUCAGGUAACUUUAAAUUAUGACGUCAAGGUCUUUUUUUGUCAACUCUGGAAAGCUGAGCACCUUCAUUGAGGAGGAAGAAAAGGAUGAGGAUGAGGAAGAGGAGGAGGAUGAGGAUGUAAAGAAUGAGGGAGGAGUAAUAGGAAGAGGAUAGUUAUUGGUAGAAGACGGAUAUAACCUUGGUUGUUAUUAAUUAAAACAGACGAUUUGAGUUAUGUGUUUAGAAUCUAUUUCAGAGUUAAAAAGAUCUGUCAGGAUGUCUUUUACUAAUAAGCUUAUUUUUUGUUCCACUGACA
Molecule: long non-coding RNA, 1486 nt
Organism: Scylla paramamosain (green mud crab)
Lineage: Eukaryota; Metazoa; Arthropoda; Malacostraca; Decapoda; Portunidae
Exons: 3
Source: RefSeq, a predicted model, not a curated record